CAAAAACAUCUUUUCUCGUUAGUUUUUGAAGUAUGGCCUGCCCACUGACUUGGUGUUGAAGGGCCGCGGUAUUUUGACCGUGCAAAGGUAGCAUAAUCAUUAGUUCUUUAAUUGUGAUCUGGUAUGAAUGGCUUGACGAGACAUGGGCUGUCUUAAAAGUAUUGUUUGUUGAAUUUGGUCUUUGAGUUAAAAUUCUUAGAUGUUUUUAUGGGACGAGAAGACCCUAUAGAGUUUGACAUUUUAUCUUGCUGUGUUUUAAAAUUUGUUUGUUAUGUAUUUGCGGUAAGGUUGGGUGUUUUGUUGGGGUGAUGGGAGGAAUUUUUUUAACUCCUCUUUAUUUUUAUAUAUUUAUUUAUAUUUUUUUGAUCCAUUUAUUUUGAUUAUAAAAUUAAAUUACCUU
Molecule: ribosomal RNA, 400 nt
Filed under: Amitermes amifer
Lineage: Eukaryota; Metazoa; Arthropoda; Insecta; Blattodea; Termitidae
Description: partial 16S ribosomal RNA
Source: RNAcentral